UACGUAGGUGGCAAGCGUUGUCCGGAUUUAUUGGGUUUAAAGGGUGCGUAGGCGGUUGUAUAAGUCAGUGCUGAAAUAUCCCGGCUUAACCGGGAGGGUGGCAUUGAUACUGUAUGACUUGAGUAAAGUUGAGGUUGGCGGAAUUGACGGUGUAGCGGUGAAAUGCGCAGAUAUCAGGAGGAACACCGGUGGCGAAGGCGGAUCUCUGGGCCGUAACUGACGCUGAGGAGCGAAAGCAUGGGGAGCGAACAGG
RNAcentral lists this ribosomal RNA (253 nucleotides) under uncultured bacterium. Its description in RNAcentral is "partial 16S ribosomal RNA". It matches the Rfam family "Bacterial small subunit ribosomal RNA", at positions 524 to 776 of the family's 1533-position model. The record is from RNAcentral.